This 217-nucleotide long non-coding RNA is filed under the name Lathyrus oleraceus (garden pea). Its description in RNAcentral is "Pisum sativum (pea) long non-coding RNA (PSAT_LNC022248)". The record is from RNAcentral. Lineage: Eukaryota; Viridiplantae; Streptophyta; Magnoliopsida; Fabales; Fabaceae.
GAGACCGGAAGAUAAGCUGCAUGAAGCCUCUUCACCUCCCUCUCAUAGGUUGCCUCAAUAUCUGCCUUCUCUUUGGCGAGUCGAUCAUACUUCCUCUUCCAAAACUUGGAAGACUGAGGAAGUAGAGAAGUCAAUGCGUCAUCAGGAUCAUCAAUAAUCUGGUGCUCAAGGAACUCUAUCAAAGCAUCCUUCUCUCUGAUCUACUGAAGCAACUCCU